GGGGAAUAUUGCACAAUGGGGGAAACCCUGAUGCAGCCAUGCCGCGUGUGUGAAGAAGGCCUUCGGGUUGUAAAGCACUUUCAGUCAGGAGGAAGGUGGUGUAGCUAAUAUCUGCACCAAUUGACGUUACUGACAGAAGAAGCACCGGCUAACUACGUGCCAGCAGCCGCGGUGAUACGUAGGGUGCGAGCGUUGUCCGGAAUUAUUGGGCGUAAAGAGCUUGUAGGCGUCCGUCGCGUCGGAAGUGAAAACUCAGGGCUUAACCCUGAGCCUGCUUUCGAUACGGGCAGACUUGAGGGAUGUAGGGGAGAACGGAAUUCCUGGUGGAGCGGUGGAAUGCGCAGAUAUCAGGAGGAACACCAGUGGCGAAGGCGGUUCUCUGGACAUUUCCUGACGCUGAGAAGCGAAAGCGUGGGGAGCAAACA
This 425-nucleotide ribosomal RNA is filed under the name uncultured Propionicimonas sp. RNAcentral's name for it is "bacterial SSU rRNA". It matches the Rfam family "Bacterial small subunit ribosomal RNA", at positions 356 to 774 of the family's 1533-position model. Lineage: Bacteria; Bacillati; Actinomycetota; Actinomycetes; Propionibacteriales; Nocardioidaceae. The record is from RNAcentral.